RNAcentral lists this ribosomal RNA (469 nucleotides) under uncultured bacterium. Its description in RNAcentral is "bacterial SSU rRNA". It matches the Rfam family "Bacterial small subunit ribosomal RNA", at positions 29 to 506 of the family's 1533-position model. The record is from RNAcentral.
AGUGAACGCUGGCGGCGUGCUUAACACAUGCAAGUCGAACGAGAACGGAUUAUAGCUUGCUAUAAUUGUCAGCUAAGUGGCGCACGGGUGAGUAAUAUAUAGAUAACCUGCCCUCUAGAAAGGAAUAACAGUUGGAAACGACUGCUAAUGCCCUAUAUGCCUUUAAUACAUAAGUAUGCAAGGGAAACGCUUUAGUGCUAGAGGAUGGGUCUGUAUGGUAUCAGCUUGUUGGUGAGGUAAUGGCUCACCAAGGCUAUGACGCCUAACUGGUUUGAGAGGAUGAUCAGUCACACUGGAACUGAGACACGGUCCAGACCCCUACGGGAGGCAGCAGUGGGGAAUAUUGCACAAUGGACGAAAGUCUGAUGCAGCAACGCCGCGUGGAGGAUGACACAUUUCGGUGCGUAAACUCCUUUUAUAUAGGAAGAUAAUGACGGUACUAUAUGAAUAAGCACCGGCUAAACUCCGU